This 467-nucleotide ribosomal RNA is filed under the name uncultured bacterium. Its description in RNAcentral is "partial 16S ribosomal RNA". It matches the Rfam family "Bacterial small subunit ribosomal RNA", at positions 29 to 507 of the family's 1533-position model. The record is from RNAcentral.
AUGCACGCUGGCGGCGUGCUUCACCCCUGCAAGUCGAACGGAAAGGCCCAAGCUUGCUUGGGUACUCGAGUGGCGAACGGGUGAGUAACACGUGGGUGAUCUGCCCUGCACUUCGGGAUAAGCCUGGGAAACUGGGUCUAAUACCGGAUAGGACCACUUCUUGGAUGUUGUGGUGGAAAGUUUUUCGGUGUGGGAUGAGCUCGCGGCCUAUCAGCUUGUUGGUGGGGUAAUGGCCUACCAAGGCGUCGACGGGUAGCCGGCCUGAGAGGGUGUACGGCCACAUUGGGACUGAGAUACGGCCCAGACUCCUACGGGAGGCAGCAGUGGGGAAUAUUGCACAAUGGGCGCAAGCCUGAUGCAGCGACGCCGCGUGGGGGAUGACGGCCUUCGGGUUGUAAACUCCUUUCGCUAGGGACGAAGCUUAUUUUGUGACGGUACCUGGAGAAGAAGCACCGGCUAACUACGUG